CGUUAGCGGCGGACGGGUGAGUAACACUGGGUAACCUACCUAUAAGACUGGGAUAACUUCGGGAAACCGGAGCUAAUACCGGAUAAUAUUUCGAACCGCAUGGUUCGAUAGUGAAAGAUGGUUUUGCUAUCACUUAUAGAUGGACCUGCGCCGUAUUAGCUAGUUGGUAAGGUAACGGCUUACCAAGGCGACGAUACGUAGCCGACCUGAGAGGGUGAUCGGCCACACUGGAACUGAGACACGGUCCAGACUCCUACGGGAGGCAGCAGGC
Molecule: ribosomal RNA, 271 nt
Filed under: uncultured Staphylococcus sp.
Lineage: Bacteria; Bacillati; Bacillota; Bacilli; Caryophanales; Staphylococcaceae
Description: partial 16S ribosomal RNA
Rfam family: Bacterial small subunit ribosomal RNA
Source: RNAcentral